This 252-nucleotide ribosomal RNA is filed under the name uncultured bacterium. RNAcentral's name for it is "partial 16S ribosomal RNA". It matches the Rfam family "Bacterial small subunit ribosomal RNA", at positions 524 to 776 of the family's 1533-position model. The record is from RNAcentral.
UACGAACUGUGCGAACGUUAUUCGGAAUCACUGGGCUUACAGGGUGCGUAGGCGGCUUGUUAAGUAGGGUGUGAAAGCCCCCGCUCAACCGGGGAAUUGCGCCCUAAACUGGCGAGCUGGAGUGAGAUAGGGGUGUGUGGAACUUCCGGUGGAGCGGUGAAAUGUGUUGAUAUCGGAAGGAACGCCGGUGGCGAAAGCGACACACUGGAUCUUGUCUGACGCUGAGGCACGAAAGCCAGGGGAGCGAACGGG